RNAcentral lists this long non-coding RNA (977 nucleotides) under Homo sapiens (human). RNAcentral's name for it is "HSALNT0322814". Lineage: Eukaryota; Metazoa; Chordata; Mammalia; Primates; Hominidae. The record is from RNAcentral.
AGUGGGAAGUAUUCUGGAUACCUUGGCAAGACCCAUGGGUCUUGCGUCAUAGCCUGAGAGAUAAAUCCUACAAUGAUUUAGGGGUCUGCCAUACUUAUGAAGAUUUUAGGGACUCAAUGGUUUGGGCUAUGCAGGGAUAUCCCCUUUAAGAUGCCAAGAACCUGGACAUCCUCCACCAGAACAAUCUCACAACAUGUCAAGUUUCCAGAGAUUGCUACUGCCUUCUUAAGCAGAUUUUCAAUGACCUAAGUUCCACUGGAAGUAGACCUAACAUAACUAGGAUGAACAGGAAACCUCUGAAUGUGAAAGUGAACACUAUUAAUACUUACAUGAAGGCAACAGGCAUGAACUGGAACAACCUUGGCCAUGCUGGGACGUAUGUUCACCCUAAGCAAAGAUCAGGAAUUCAGGCAGGGCUUGGCUGAGUGACUUCUCUGUUCCACAUGGCAUUGACACGUCUCAGGGCCUCUCCAUGUGUUUUCUCGAGCAAUGUGUUUGGUCUUCUGGAAUUAUGAUUCAUGGAUUCAAGAGACCACGGUAGAAGCUUCUAAUCCUCUUAAAAAGCAAGACUGAUCAUGGGAAACUGUCCUGUCCACUAGUACAUUAUUUGACAACCAUAAGACCAAAGGACUCCUUGGACACCUAGUCAGGAGGGUGGUGAGUUGAACUGAGCAAGCUUGAGCAUCUCAAACUGAAGUGGACACUUGCGCUUUAUACAGAGUAAGGCCCAAAUUGAAUUAACCUGGAGUGAGUCUGCAACAAGCCUAGCGUCUGCAUUUCUAUAACUGAUCUCAGCUAACACUGGAGCUACUUAAAUUCCCAAUGAUUUUAGAAAACUAUUUUUUUUAAAGUGUGUGAUUUGAAGGUAAAUGAACCUAUUCCAAUUUAACUGCUUUAUUUUUGUGGUUGCAUAUAUAAUCAUAUUUAAGCAAUUUAAAAUCCAAACUCCCUUUUGGAGCUGUUUUAUUUUCUGAAGG